Long non-coding RNA from Puntigrus tetrazona (Sumatra barb), 886 nucleotides. RefSeq lists it as uncharacterized. The record is from RefSeq and is a predicted model, not a curated record. Lineage: Eukaryota; Metazoa; Chordata; Actinopteri; Cypriniformes; Cyprinidae. The transcript has 3 exons.
ACUAAUUCCGAAAACAGGAUAUACAGCCUGAAAGUGGAGUGCGGACCUAAAUAUCCCGAAGUACCACCGACUGUUAGAUUUGUAACAAAAAUUAGCAUGAAUGGAAUAAAUAAUUCCAAUGGGAUGGCAGGAAGAAAGCACAUCCACGUUGCACCCAUGGAAUCGUGGGUAUAUUGAUGGCUGUUAAUUGUGAAGUGGGUGAGAUGAGGCAAGUUGGUGAAGGAAGCAGAGGUGGGGCUCAGGAGAAUUUCAUCUGAAAGCGUCUCACCGUCCACAUGUGCAAACAAGAAGCUCUGGACAACACGGCCGUACUGCUGCUGUCAUAAAGGUGAGGAAUGCUGCGUUAAGACUAUCAGGUGCAGCAGGACGCGUGGCAGCACGCUACGAGCAGAUAACCUGCUCCGCCGCGACCGUACGCAACCCGAUUGCCAAACGUCCUCCAGUUUGAUCCGAAACAAACACUGACGAAUGGGUCGUCAUGAACCGGGGAGGAUGCUGAAAGAACAGACUCUCUGAAGAAUACAAAGCGUACGUUGCUUUAGCUUGAGUCAGAGUUGAACUGGGUGGAGGUUGAUAACCGUAGCCCGGGGUGAUGAAAAUCUGGCCCUCUCGCUUUCUCGCUCUUUCUUACCUCUUCCACUCCACCCUUUUCUGGUAAAAGGGUGUAUGAGGUAAAGAGAGGGCAAAGUUUAUAUCUUUUCUGAAUGUUAUGCUCCUUUCUGGCCGACACAGUGAAGUAGAUACUACUUCACACAGUGAAGAAUCUACUCAGACACCCUAGCAACUGCAUAGCAGCGCCCUGGAUACAAUCUAAAACACCGUACAUCACAAUGGCGUAAGUGUAAAUGUAAAUUGUGAAAUAAAAAAACAUCUAGUUAUUUUUGUG